GAUGAACGCUGGCGGCGUGCCUAAUACAUGCAAGUCGAGCGAACGGACGAGAAGCUUGCUUCUCUGAUGUUAGCGGCGGACGGGUGAGUAACACGUGGAUAACCUACCUAUAAGACUGGGAUAACUUCGGGAAACCGGAGCUAAUACCGGAUAAUAUUUUGAACCGCAUGGUUCAAAAGUGAAAGACGGUCUUGCUAUCACUUAUAGAUGGAUCCGCGCUGCAUUAGCUAGUUGGUAAGGUAACGGCUUACCAAGGCAACGAUGCAUAGCCGACCUGAGAGGGUGAUCGGCCACACUGGAACUGAGACACGGUCCAGACUCCUACGGGAGGCAGCAGUAGGGAAUCUUCCGCAAUGGGCGAAAGCCUGACGGAGCAACGCCGCGUGAGUGAUGAAGGUCCUCGGAUCGUAAAACUCUGUUAUUAGGGAAGAACAUAUGUGUAAGUAACUGUGCACAUCUUGACGGUACCUAAUCAGAAAGCCACGGCUAACUACGUG
RNAcentral lists this ribosomal RNA (497 nucleotides) under uncultured bacterium. Its description in RNAcentral is "partial 16S ribosomal RNA". It matches the Rfam family "Bacterial small subunit ribosomal RNA", at positions 28 to 507 of the family's 1533-position model. The record is from RNAcentral.